This 811-nucleotide ribosomal RNA is filed under the name Streptomyces sp. RNAcentral's name for it is "bacterial SSU rRNA". It matches the Rfam family "Bacterial small subunit ribosomal RNA", at positions 91 to 917 of the family's 1533-position model. The record is from RNAcentral. Lineage: Bacteria; Bacillati; Actinomycetota; Actinomycetes; Kitasatosporales; Streptomycetaceae.
GAUAGUGGCGACGGGUGAGUAACACGUGGGCAAUCUGCCCUUCACUCUGGGACAAGCCCUGGAAACGGGGUCUAAUACCGGAUACGACUGCGGAAGGCAUCUUCCGCGGUGGAAAGCUCCGGCGGUGAAGGAUGAGCCCGCGGCCUAUCAGCUUGUUGGUGGGGUAAUGGCCUACCAAGGCGACGACGGGUAGCCGGCCUGAGAGGGCGACCGGCCACACUGGGACUGAGACACGGCCCAGACUCCUACGGGAGGCAGCAGUGGGGAAUAUUGCACAAUGGGCGAAAGCCUGAUGCAGCGACGCCGCGUGAGGGAUGACGGCCUUCGGGUUGUAAACCUCUUUCAGCAGGGAAGAAGCGAAAGUGACGGUACCUGCAGAAGAAGCGCCGGCUAACUACGUGCCAGCAGCCGCGGUAAUACGUAGGGCGCAAGCGUUGUCCGGAAUUAUUGGGCGUAAAGAGCUCGUAGGCGGCCAGUCACGUCGGAUGUGAAAGCCCGAGGCUUAACCUCGGGUCUGCAUUCGAUACGGGCUGGCUAGAGUGUGGUAGGGGAGAUCGGAAUUCCUGGUGUAGCGGUGAAAUGCGCAGAUAUCAGGAGGAACACCGGUGGCGAAGGCGGAUCUCUGGGCCAUUACUGACGCUGAGGAGCGAAAGCGUGGGGAGCGAACAGGAUUAGAUACCCUGGUAGUCCACGCCGUAAACGUUGGGAACUAGGUGUUGGCGACAUUCCACGUCGUCGGUGCCGCAGCUAACGCAUUAAGUUCCCCGCCUGGGGAGUACGGCGCAAGGCUAAAACUCAAGGAAUUGACGGG